AUGAACGUUGGCGGCGUGGAUUAGGCAUGCAAGUCGAGCGAGAACCCCGCAAGGGGGGACAGCGGCGCAAGGGACAGUAAUGUGUAGAUCAUCUGCCCUCAGGUCCGGGAUAGCUGCGGGAAACUGCAGGUAAUACCGGAUGACAUCUCCGGAUCAAAGGUGUGAUUCCGCCUGAGGAUGAGUCUACAUCCUAUUAGCUAGUUGGUAGGGUAACGGCCUACCAAGGCUUUGAUGGGUAGCGGGUGUGAGAGCACGACCCGCGUCAUUGGGACUGAGACACUGCCCAGACACCUACGGGUGGCUGCAGUCGAGAAUCUUCGGCAAUGGGCGCAAGCCUGACCGAGCGACGCCGCGUGUGGGAUGAAGGCCUUCGGGUUGUAAACCACUGUCAGAGGGGAUGAAAUGCAGGUGGGUUCUCCCAUCUGUUUGACAUAGCCUCAGAGGAAGGACGGGCUAAGUUCGU
Molecule: ribosomal RNA, 463 nt
Filed under: uncultured bacterium
Lineage: Bacteria
Description: bacterial SSU rRNA
Rfam family: Bacterial small subunit ribosomal RNA
Source: RNAcentral